Molecule: long non-coding RNA, 2443 nt
Organism: Manis pentadactyla (Chinese pangolin)
Lineage: Eukaryota; Metazoa; Chordata; Mammalia; Pholidota; Manidae
Exons: 7
Source: RefSeq, a predicted model, not a curated record
AGCGCGAGCCGCCGUGACGUCACGGGCCGCCCGCCAGCCCCGCGCUCCAGCGGGCAGAGCGCGUGCGGCCGCCGAGCACAUGGGCCCGCGGGCCGGGCGGGCUCGGGGCUGCCGGGCCCCGGAGGGGCGGCGAGGGGCCGCGAGCGAGGAUGGGCCCCGGCGCCCCCCGGCGCCCGCGCCGUGGAUUUCCUCACGGAAAGGGAUGUUAGCGGCCCCGGUGACCUGCGGAGACGGCUGAAUCCACCUUCCAGAAGUGGAAGAAAGAAUAAGAACAGACAUUUCCUGGAUGGCCAUCCCUGUGAGGCACGAGAUGAAGAUCCAAGUGUGCUGCCUCAGGAAAGCCACCCUGGCAAGCCCCAGCUGUUCAUCUGGAAAAUGCAUCUUGCAACCGCUUUCGAGGGGUGAAUGAGAGACCAUGUGCGACCUGCACAGGCUGGAACAGAAGGGGCUCAGCGAGGGCAGCGUGCGCCCCUCUCCGCCCUCCCAGCUACAGCUGCUGUCAAAACUUCAUGCUGGAAAGAGAGCAGUUAACCCCAAGGAAGAGGGUUUCUCCAGGGUGUUCUGCGCCAUCCCUGUGUCACUGUGACCAGGGGCCUGUGCAGGAGGUCCCACCCCAGGCCUACUGACCAGCCCUGUGGGGGUAGACCUUGGGGACCUGUGUUGGAACAAGCCUCCCAUGAGCUUGUUGCAUAAGGGUCCCCAACCCAGGGCUCUUUCUGGACUACUGUUCUCACAGGCCUGGUCUUGUGACCAGAAGGGAAUUAGAACGAUAACCCUCAUGACCUGCACCUGCUAGCUGCAUGGAGCUUCAUUCAAGGAUCUUCUGAGCCGUGGAUUUACAGUGAUAUUCGGUUGCCUGGGGAAUUACACCCACGGAAGCAAUCUCUGGAAUUACUCACACUUGGCCCAUUUCUGGAUGCUAAUGGUGGUUGUAAGGAAAGCCCUGACUGAGUGCCUCGCGGAUUUCUGCAGCCUGACGCCCAUGGGGUCAGAGGACCGUGUCUUCUUGCAAGGGCAGAGAUGUCUGUCCUCAUCUCAAACCGGAAUGUUUGUGGGUCUCUGCCAACUCCUUUGGGAGCUCCCUGUGAAAUAAUCCUGUAAUACCUGGGACUUAGGUGUCUUUAAUCUGAAAAAAACACUUGUUCCUUCAAUAUACCAGAUGAACUUGAGAACUGUCCUUCCCUGAACUAAAGCUGGAAUAUCUUGGGGUUUGGGGACGUAAGGUUGGCCUGGAUUUUACAGGAGUCCUGAGCUCCUUUGGAGAUGUGUCUCUCUCCAGCACUGAGCUAUCAGCAUUCUUGAACAUCUCAGGGCCCAGAAGAAAAUGAAGAAAGCUGAUCAACUCUUCAGAAUGGCCUGAAUCAGAGGAGACUGGGAAGAACUUGACAGAGGGCAUAGGCCCAGCAGUCACACUGACCUCAAGAGAAUCAUCCUUGUGCCUGGUGACCAGCGGACAUGUGACCAGGAGAAGGGGGCCAAGAACACAGCCACGUCAACCCGUACAGGGUGAAUGCCCCCAACCACCUCCCCCAUGACACAUAAUACAUUUUCCCCGAGAUGUCCCCCUGAGCUAUCUUCAUUUAAUGUGACUUUGACAGGAUAGCCGGUCUGGAAAUUUUACUUUCAAUUAAACUUCCCUGUUGAACUGCCUUGGUUUUGGAAGGAUCCAUUAGGAUCGUUAAUUAUAUAGCAGUUGCUACAAGGAGGUAUUUGCACUCACUUUCAGCUCCUAGGUAAUUCAAAUCAAAUGCUUUCUUUUCCUCCCUGGAGCCGCAUGUGACCAUCUUCCCCUCACACUGCAGGCUGCUCCUGAGUUAUUUUGGGAAAUCCAAAUCAAAGCAGCAAUUUUGGUGGAGGCCAUUUCUAGCCUAGCAAAGCCAUAUGUACUGAUACAAAGAGCCCAAGUCAGUGCCUUUAAAAAGCAACAAAACCAGCUUCCUCUGUGGGGCUUAAAUUUUGGGGAACUGCAAACUAUCCUUUUUACUAUCAUCUUCCCAUGUGAACUCUACCUGAAGUCAAAGACAACUGGAAUUCCUUUGAAAUUACCAAAGAUCUGUCCAUUUGCAAACUGGUGCUGAAGAUCAUUUUCAAGAUGGCAGGCCUUGGCAGAAUUUUCUGGGGACUCAUGUUUUGGCCUCUGGACCCCCCAUGAAACAUGAAAACCACUUUAUUUUCCCACUCUCUGCUGCUUCUUUCUUUUACCAAGCAUAGGUGACAUACCUCUUUACCCUAAUAAGCAGGCAAACCUCCCUGUGACCCGUUAGAACUUAAGCUCCCUGUGGGCUGGGGCUAAGUUUUUCAUCUUGUUUUGUGCCUGGCACAUGGCAUGUGUUCAAAUAGUUGAAUGAAUAAAAUCCUAUUUCUGUUUUUCUUUGUCAAAAAAAAAAAAUCAUUUAUUAUAUAAAUAAUAAAUAAAUGCUUUCAUAUUGGGAAAAAAAAAAAA